RNAcentral lists this ribosomal RNA (493 nucleotides) under uncultured bacterium. RNAcentral's name for it is "partial 16S ribosomal RNA". It matches the Rfam family "Bacterial small subunit ribosomal RNA", at positions 30 to 523 of the family's 1533-position model. The record is from RNAcentral.
AUUGAACGCUGGCGGCAUGCCUUACACAUGCAAGUCGAACGGUAACAGGUUAAGCUGACGAGUGGCGAACGGGUGAGUAAUAUAUCGGAACGUGCCCAGUCGUGGGGGAUAACGUAGCGGAAGCUACGCUAAUACCGCAUACGAUCUACGGAUGAAAGCGGGGGAUCGCAAGACCUCGCGCGAUUGGAGCGGCCGAUAUCAGAUUAGGUUGUUGGUGAGGUAAAAGCUCACCAAGCCUGCGAUCUGUAGCUGGUCUGAGAGGACGACCAGCCACACGGGAACUGAGACACGGUCCAGACUCCUACGGGAGGCAGCAGUGGGGAAUUUUGGACAAUGGACGCAAGUCUGAUCCAGCAAUGCCGCGUGCAGGACGAAGGCCUUCGGGUUGUAAACUGCUUUUGUACGGAACGAAACGGUGAGCUCUAAUACAGUUUGCUAAUGACGGUACCGUAAGAAUAAGCACCGGCUAACUACGUGCCAGCCGCCGCGGUAA